RNAcentral lists this microRNA precursor (84 nucleotides) under Daucus carota subsp. sativus. Its description in RNAcentral is "pre miRNA MIR164". It matches the Rfam family "MIR164 microRNA precursor family". The record is from RNAcentral. Lineage: Eukaryota; Viridiplantae; Streptophyta; Magnoliopsida; Apiales; Apiaceae.
AGUCCCUUGUUGGAGAAGCAGGGCACGUGCAAACCGAUCCACUCCGGCCUAUUUGCACGUGCUCCCCUUCUCCAACUAGGAUUC